RNAcentral lists this ribosomal RNA (253 nucleotides) under uncultured bacterium. RNAcentral's name for it is "partial 16S ribosomal RNA". It matches the Rfam family "Bacterial small subunit ribosomal RNA", at positions 524 to 776 of the family's 1533-position model. The record is from RNAcentral.
UACGUAGGGACCAAGCGUUGUCCGGAAUCAUUGGGCGUAAAGCGCGCGUCGGUGGCCAUUUAAGUCCGCUGUGAAAGUCAAAGGCUCAACCUUUGAAAGCCGGUGGAUACUGGAUGGCUAGAGUACGGAAGAGGCGAGUGGAAUUCCUGGUGUAGCGGUGGAAUGCGCAGAUAUCAGGAGGAACACCAAUAGCGAAGGCAGCUCGCUGGGACGUUACUGACACUGAGGCGCGAAAGCGUGGGGAGCGAACAGG